UACGUAGGGUGCAAGCGUUGUCCGGAAUUAUUGGGCGUAAAGAGCUCGUAGGCGGUUUGUCGCGUCUGCUGUGAAAACCCGAGGCUCAACCUCGGGCCUGCAGUGGGUACGGGCAGACUAGAGUGCGGUAGGGGAGAUUGGAAUUCCUGGUGUAGCGGUGGAAUGCGCAGAUAUCAGGAAGAACACCCGUGGCGAAGGCGGCUCUCUGGGACGGUAUUGACGCUCAGGCACGAAAGCAUGGGGAUCAAACAGG
RNAcentral lists this ribosomal RNA (253 nucleotides) under uncultured bacterium. Its description in RNAcentral is "partial 16S ribosomal RNA". It matches the Rfam family "Bacterial small subunit ribosomal RNA", at positions 524 to 776 of the family's 1533-position model. The record is from RNAcentral.